RNAcentral lists this ribosomal RNA (608 nucleotides) under uncultured bacterium. Its description in RNAcentral is "bacterial SSU rRNA". It matches the Rfam family "Bacterial small subunit ribosomal RNA", at positions 202 to 809 of the family's 1533-position model. The record is from RNAcentral.
CAAAGGUUAAUUCCGGUGGCGGAUGGGCAUGCGUCGCAUUAGUUAGUUGGCGGUGUAACGGACCACCAAGACGACGAUGCGUAGGGGUUCUGAGAGGAAGGUCCCCCACACUGGUACUGAGACACGGACCAGACUCCUACGGGAGGCAGCAGUGAGGAAUAUUGGUCAAUGGGCGGGAGCCUGAACCAGCCAAGUCGCGUGAGGGAUGACGGCCCUAUGGGUUGUAAACCUCUUUUGCCGGGGAGCAAAGUGCCGCACGUGUGCGGUUUGGAGAGUACCCGGAGAAAAAGCAUCGGCUAACUCCGUGCCAGCAGCCGCGGUAAUACGGAGGAUGCGAGCGUUAUCCGGAUUUAUUGGGUUUAAAGGGUGCGUAGGCGGACGCUUAAGUCAGCGGUAAAAUUGCGGGGCUCAACCUCGUCGAGCCGUUGAAACUGGGUGCCUUGAGUGGGCGAGAAGUACGCGGAAUGCGUGGUGUAGCGGUGAAAUGCAUAGAUAUCACGCAGAACUCCGAUUGCGAAGGCAGCGUACCGGCGCCCAACUGACGCUGAAGCACGAAGGCGUGGGUAUCGAACAGGAUUAGAUACCCUGGUAGUCCACGCAGUAAACGA